AUACGUAGACCUCAAGCGUUAUCCGGAUUUAUUGGGCGUAAAGGGUGUGUGGGCGGUUUAAAUAGUCAGAUGUUAAAUUACUGGGCUUAACCCAGUAACCGCAUUUGAAACGUUUAAACUAGAAGUAUGCAGAGGUUAGCGGAACUUAUGGUGUAGCAGUGAAAUGCGUUGAUAUCAUAGGGAACACCAAAGGCGAAGGCAGCUAACUGGGCAUUACUUGACGCUGAGGCACGAAAGCGUGGGUAGCGAAUGGGAUUAGAUACCCCAGUAGUCC
This 274-nucleotide ribosomal RNA is filed under the name uncultured bacterium. RNAcentral describes it as "partial 16S ribosomal RNA". It matches the Rfam family "Bacterial small subunit ribosomal RNA", at positions 523 to 796 of the family's 1533-position model. The record is from RNAcentral.